This 410-nucleotide ribosomal RNA is filed under the name uncultured bacterium. RNAcentral describes it as "bacterial SSU rRNA". It matches the Rfam family "Bacterial small subunit ribosomal RNA", at positions 32 to 426 of the family's 1533-position model. The record is from RNAcentral.
AAUCAACGCUGGCGGCGUGCCUAACACAUGCAAGUCGAACGCGAAAGUGGAGCAAUCCAUGAGUAGAGUGGCAAACGGGUGAGUAACGCGUGGGCGACCUACCUUCGAGUGGGGGAUAACCUUCCGAAAGGAGGGCUAAUACCGCAUGACAUCCCGUGUUUGGAUACACGGACAUCAAAGCCGGGGAUCGUAAGACCUGGCGCUUGAAGAGGGGCCCGCGUCCGAUUAGCUAGCGGUGAGGUAACGGCUUACCAAGGCUCCGAUCGGUAUCCGGCCUGAGAGGGCGGACGGACACACUGGAACUGAGACACGGUCCAGACUCCUACGGGAGGCAGCAGUGGGGAAUUGUUCGCAAUGGGCGCAAGCCUGACGACGCAACGCCGCGUGGAGGAUGAAGACUUUCGGGUCGG